CCCUUAGAUGUUCUGGGCCGCACGCGCGCUACAAUGAUGAAUUCAACGAGUUUAUAACCUUGGUUGAAAAGCCUGGGUAAUCUUUUGAACUUUCGUCGUGAUGGGGCUAGACCCUUGCAAUUAUUGGUCUCCAACGAGGAAUUCCUAGUAAACGCAAGUCAUCAGCUUGCAUUGAUUACGUCCCUGCCCUUUGUACACACCGCCCGUCGCACCUACCGAUUGAAUGGUCCGGUGAAAUCUUCGGAUUGAGACUUUGAUUUCUUCACGGAAAACGCUGUGUUAAGAAGUUGAUUAAACCUUACCAUUUAGAGGAAGGUGAAGUCGUAACA
RNAcentral lists this ribosomal RNA (329 nucleotides) under uncultured eukaryote. RNAcentral's name for it is "partial 18S ribosomal RNA". It matches the Rfam family "Eukaryotic small subunit ribosomal RNA", at positions 1470 to 1796 of the family's 1831-position model. The record is from RNAcentral.